UUGUGCUAGGCGGGGCUAUAGCGGCGCCCUUUACCCGAAAUCCGCUUUACGCGGGGCUGAAUUCUUUCUGGAGGAUUUCUCCUGAGAUGUAAAUUGUUCUGACCGGUCGCCACGCAACAGACCCCCACGAACCUCGUCAGGUCCGGAAGGAAGCAGCGAUAAGUGAUGUGGUUUGUGUCGUGGAUCGAUCCCGGUCAUGUUAUGAUUCUGCCUUUCCGGAGAAUUCGAUAGCGAGUGCACAA
RNAcentral lists this signal recognition particle RNA (242 nucleotides) under Desulfobacteraceae bacterium. Its description in RNAcentral is "signal recognition particle sRNA large type". It matches the Rfam family "Bacterial large signal recognition particle RNA". Rfam says of the family: The signal recognition particle (SRP) is a universally conserved ribonucleoprotein involved in the co-translational targeting of proteins to membranes. Archaeal SRP consists of a 7S RNA and homologues of the eukaryotic SRP19 and SRP54 proteins. In most bacteria, the SRP consists of a 4.5S RNA and the Ffh protein (a homologue of the eukaryotic SRP54 protein). The record is from RNAcentral. Lineage: Bacteria; Pseudomonadati; Thermodesulfobacteriota; Desulfobacteria; Desulfobacterales; Desulfobacteraceae.